Molecule: ribosomal RNA, 492 nt
Filed under: uncultured bacterium
Lineage: Bacteria
Description: partial 16S ribosomal RNA
Rfam family: Bacterial small subunit ribosomal RNA
Source: RNAcentral
AGUGAACGCUGGCGGUAGGCCUAACACAUGCAAGUCGAACGGCAGCACAGUAAGAGCUUGCUCUUACGGGUGGCGAGUGGCGGACGGGUGAGGAAUACAUCGGAAUCUACUUUUUCGUGGGGGAUAACGUAGGGAAACUUACGCUAAUACCGCAUACGACCUACGGGUGAAAGCAGGGGAUCUUCGGACCUUUCGCGAUUGAAUGAGCCGAUGUCGGAUUAGCUAGUUGGCGGGGUAAAGGCCCACCAAGGCGACGAUCCGUAGCUGGUCUGAGAGGAUGAUCAGCCACACUGGAACUGAGACACGGUCCAGACUCUUACGGGAGGCAGCAGUGGGGAAUAUUGGAGAAUGGGCGAAAGCCUGAUCCAGCCAUACCGCGUGGGUGAAGAAGGCCUUCGGCUGGUAAAGCCCUGUUGUUGGGAAAGAAAAACAGCAGGUUAAUACCCGGCUGUACUGACGGUACCGAAAGAAUAAGCACCGGCUAACUUCGUG